This 2625-nucleotide ribosomal RNA is filed under the name Clostridium acetobutylicum. RNAcentral's name for it is "bacterial LSU rRNA". It matches the Rfam family "Bacterial large subunit ribosomal RNA". The record is from RNAcentral. Lineage: Bacteria; Bacillati; Bacillota; Clostridia; Eubacteriales; Clostridiaceae.
CAAAGGGCGCAUGGUGAAUGCCUUGGCACUAGGAGCCGAUGAAGGACGUGAUAAGCUGCGAUAAGCUUCGGGUAGGCGCAAAUAGCCUGUGAACCGAAGAUUUCCGAAUGAGGAAACUCUCAUGGGUAACCCCAUGAACUGUAUACUGAAUUCAUAGGUAUAUAGAGGUAAACCCGGGGAACUGAAACAUCUAAGUACCUGGAGGAAGAGAAAGAAAAAUCGAUUUCCUUAGUAGCGGCGAGCGAAACGGAAAGAGCCCAAACCGGAAACUUGUUUCCGGGGUUGCGGUCAGAUCAUUAAGGCUUUAUAUCUUAACCGAAGAUUUCUGGAAAGUUAAACCAUAGAAGGUAAUAGUCCUGUAGGUAAAAAGAGAAAAAAGCCCGAUCUGUACCAGAGUACCACGAGACACGUGAAACCUUGUGGGAAGCUGGGAGGACCACCUCCCAAGGCUAAAUACUACCUAGUGACCGAUAGUGAAGAAGUACCGUGAGGGAAAGGUGAAAAGAACCCCAGGAGGGGAGUGAAAUAGAACCUGAAACCGUGUGUCCACAACCGAUCAAAACACGUUAAUGUGUGAUGAUGUGCUUUUUGUAGAACGAGCCAGCGAGUUACGGUAUGCAGCAAGGUUAAGCACUUAAGGUGCGCAGCCGAAGGGAAACCAAGUCUGAAUAGGGCGUAUAGUUGCAUGCUGUAGACCCGAAACCGGGUGACCUAUCCAUGGCCAGGGUGAAGCGGAAGUAAAAUUCCGUGGAGGCCCGAACCACAAUGGUGUUGAAAAACCAUGGGAUGAGCUGUGGAUAGGGGAGAAAUUCCAAUCGAACUCGGAUAUAGCUGGUUCUCCUCGAAAUAGCUUUAGGGCUAGCGCCAUGAAUGAGUACCGGAGGUAGAGCACUGAAUGAGGUAGGGGCUGACAACAGUUACCGAACUUUAUCAAACUCCGAAUGCUGGAUACUUGAAUCAUGGUAGUCAGACUGCGAAUGAUAAGAUCCGUAGUCAAAAGGGAAACAGCCCAGAUCACCAGCUAAGGUCCCAAAGUAUAGAUUAAGUGGUAAAGGAUGUGGGAUUUCUAAGACAACUAGGAUGUUGGCUCAGAAGCAGCCAUACAUUAAAAGAGUGCGUAAUAGCUCACUAGUCAAGAGAUCCUGCGCCGAAAAUGUCCGGGGCUAAAAUCUAACACCGAAGCUGUGAACUUGUACUUCGUACAAGUGGUAGAGGAGCAUCCUGUAUGGGCUGAAGUCGUACCGAAAGGAGCGGUGGACUGUACAGGAGAGAGUAUGCUGGCAUAAGUAGCGAGAACUAAGUGAGAAUCUUAGUGGUCGAAAACCUAAGGUUUCCUGGGGAAGGUUCGUCCGCCCAGGGUAAGUCGGGACCUAAGCCGAGGCCGAAAGGCGUAGGUGAUGGACAAUCGGUUGAUAUUCCGAUACCGCAGAGUAACGUUAUGAGAAAUGGGAUGACGCAGGAGGAUAGGAUAUGCGUACGUUAUUGGAAGUACGUCUAAGCACUGAGGAUGAAAGAUAGGAAAAUCCGUCUUUCGUUAAGUCUGGGGUGUAAUGGUGAGGUAGUUUACUACCGAAAUAUCUGAUUUCAUGCUGCCAAGAAAAGUCUCUAUCCAGGAGCUCUGUGCCCGUACCGCAAACCGACACAGGUAGGUGAGGAGAGAAUCCUAAGACCAUCGGAAGAAUUGCUGUUAAGGAACUCGGCAAAUUGACCCCGUAACUUCGGGAGAAGGGGUGCCUACGAGAGUAGGUCGCAGAGAAUAGGCCCAAGCAACUGUUUAUCAAAAACACAGGUUUCUGCUAAAGCGAAAGCUGAAGUAUAGGAGCUGACGCCUGCCCGGUGCUGGAAGGUUAAGGGGAAUGCUUAGCGNNNNNNNNNNNNNNNNNNNNNNNNNNNNNNNNNNNNNNNNNCACGAAUGGCGUAAUGAUUUGGGCACUGUCUCAACAGCAAAUCCGGCGAAAUUGUAGUGCAAGUGAAGAUGCUUGCUACCCGCGAUUGGACGGAAAGACCCCGUAGAGCUUUACUGUAUCUUAGCAUUGAAUCUCGGUAUUGUCUGUACAGAAUAGGUGGGAGACUUGGAAGCAGUUCCGUCAGGGAUUGUGGAGUCGUCUUUGGGAUACCACCCUGACAGUACUGGGGUUCUAACCGGAGGCCAUGAAACUGGUCACGGGACAUAGCUAGGAGGGCAGUUUGACUGGGGCGGUCGCCUCCUAAAAAGUAACGGAGGCGCCCAAAGGUUCCCUCAGCGCGGUUGGAAACCGNGAGCAGAGACGAAAGUCGGGCUUAGUGAUCCGGUGACACCUCGUGGGAGGGUCAUCGCUCAACGGAUAAAAGCUACCUCGGGGAUAACAGGCUGAUCUCCCCCAAGAGUCCACAUCGACGGGGAGGUUUGGCACCUCGAUGUCGGCUCGUCGCAUCCUGGGGCUGAAGUAGGUCCCAAGGGUUGGGCUGUUCGCCCAUUAAAGCGGCACGCGAGCUGGGUUCAGAACGUCGUGAGACAGUUCGGUCCCUAUCCGUCGCGGGCGAAGGAAAUUUGAGAGGAGCUGUCCUUAGUACGAGAGGACCGGGAUGGACUGACCUCUGGUGUACCAGUUGUCUUACCAAAGGCACGGCUGGGUAGCUAUGUCG